RNAcentral lists this ribosomal RNA (153 nucleotides) under uncultured bacterium. Its description in RNAcentral is "partial 16S ribosomal RNA". It matches the Rfam family "Bacterial small subunit ribosomal RNA", at positions 379 to 524 of the family's 1533-position model. The record is from RNAcentral.
GAGCCUGAUGCAGCCAUGCCGCGUGUAUGAAGAAGGCCUUCGGGUUGUAAAGUACUUUCAGUUGUGAGGAAGGGGGUGUUGUUAAUAGCAACAUCUCUUGACGUUAGCAACAGAAGAAGCACCGGCUAACUCCGUGCCAGCAGCCGCGGUAAU